UACGUAGGCAGCAAGCGUUGUUCGGAAUUACUGGGCGUAAAGAGUGUGUAGGCGGUGCUCUAAGUUCGGUGUGAAAUCUCCCGGCUUAACUGGGAGGGUGCGCCGGAAACUGGAGUGCUCGAGCGUGGGAGAGGAAAGCGGAAUUCCUGGUGUAGCGGUGAAAUGCGUAGAGAUCAGGAAGAACACCGGUGGCGAAGGCGCUCUGCUAGGCCGCAACUGACACUGAGGGACGAAAGCCAGGGGAGCAAACGGG
RNAcentral lists this ribosomal RNA (253 nucleotides) under uncultured bacterium. Its description in RNAcentral is "partial 16S ribosomal RNA". It matches the Rfam family "Bacterial small subunit ribosomal RNA", at positions 524 to 776 of the family's 1533-position model. The record is from RNAcentral.